CCCUUAGAUGUCCGGGGCCGCACGCGCGCUACACUGAAGGAAUCAGCGUGGCUUUCUCCCUGACCCGAAAGGGUUGGGAAACCCGUUGAAUCUCCUUCGUGAUAGGGAUUGGGGCUUGAAAUUGUUCCCCAUGAACGAGGAAUUCCCAGUAAGCGCGGGUCAUAAGCUCGCGUUGAUUACGUCCCUGCCCUUUGUACACACCGCCCGUCGCUCCUACCGAUUGAGUGGUCCGGUGAGGCUUUGGGAUCUGAGCGGAAAGAGCGUUUCGCUGUUUCUGCUCGGAAAACUCAGUCGAACCUUAUCAUUUAGAGGAAGGAGAAGUCGUAACA
Molecule: ribosomal RNA, 329 nt
Filed under: uncultured eukaryote
Lineage: Eukaryota
Description: partial 18S ribosomal RNA
Rfam family: Eukaryotic small subunit ribosomal RNA
Source: RNAcentral